RNAcentral lists this ribosomal RNA (253 nucleotides) under uncultured bacterium. Its description in RNAcentral is "partial 16S ribosomal RNA". It matches the Rfam family "Bacterial small subunit ribosomal RNA", at positions 524 to 776 of the family's 1533-position model. The record is from RNAcentral.
UACGAAGGGGGCUAGCGUUGCUCGGAAUUACUGGGCGUAAAGCGCACGUAGGCGGAUUGUUAAGUCGGGGGUGAAAUCCCGAGGCUCAACCUCGGAACUGCCUUCGAUACUGCGGGUCUCGAGUCCGGGAGAGGUGAGUGGAAUUCCUAGUGUAGAGGUGAAAUUCGUAGAUAUUCGCAAGAACACCAGUGGCGAAGGCGGCUCACUGGCCCGGUACUGACGCUGAGGUGCGAAAGCGUGGGGAGCAAACAGG